CCUAGAGGGCGGGGCUGACGCUAGAGGAGACGGCCGGGGUCUUACUCCCACCCACGAAGCUUCCAAACCAGAUUCCGACAGCUCGGCAUUUUCCGUCAGUCUGGUCCCGUCUUCGGGCUCCCCACUUACCGCACGGAGCGCGGGGCUUGGGCUCCAGCAGCGGCUCAGGGCAGAGCACGGCCGAGGCAAGCUCCAGCCAGAAGAGGACUACUGAGAGCCAACGCAACGAGCGGAUGUGACGCUUCAUCUAGAGAACACAAUCUAGGACUGCAAUGAAAACAAAGAAGGACAAGAUGUCACAGGUUGAUAACUUGGAGCUCAUGUAAGCUAUAGGUCUGAGCGCCCUCUGUCAAGAGGUUGAAACUCAAAAGUCUGUCUGAAGAGUGAGCCCAAGUGCCCUCUCCC
This 405-nucleotide long non-coding RNA is filed under the name Monodelphis domestica (gray short-tailed opossum). RNAcentral's name for it is "lncRNA (ENSMODG00000042962.1)". Lineage: Eukaryota; Metazoa; Chordata; Mammalia; Didelphimorphia; Didelphidae. The record is from RNAcentral.